RNAcentral lists this ribosomal RNA (896 nucleotides) under uncultured Candidatus Saccharibacteria bacterium. Its description in RNAcentral is "bacterial SSU rRNA". It matches the Rfam family "Bacterial small subunit ribosomal RNA", at positions 580 to 1498 of the family's 1533-position model. The record is from RNAcentral. Lineage: Bacteria; Candidatus Saccharimonadota.
UUUUUAAGGAAUAGGGAAAUCCGGAGGCUCAACCUCACAGGGUAAUAAUCAAACUGGCAAACUUGAGAAAUGUAAGAGGUAACGGGAAUUUCUUGUGUAGGGAGUGAAAUCCGUAGAUAUAAGAAAGGAACACCCAAUGGCGUAGGCAGGUUACUGGACCAUUUCUGACAUUGAGGGCACGAAAGGCUGGGGAGCGACCCGGAUCAGAUACCCCGGGUAGUCCAAGCCGCAAAACGAUGGAUACUAGCUGUUGGAGGUAUCGACCCCUUCAGUAGCGAAGCUAACGCGUUAAGUAUCCCGCCUGUGGAGUACGGUCGCAAGACUAAAACAUAAAGGAAUUACCGGGGACCCGCACAAGCAGUGGACCGUGUUCUUUAAUUCGAUGAUAAACGAAGAACCUUACCAGGGUUUGACAUCCUUGGAAUUUUGCCGAAAGGCGAGAGUGCUUUAUUGAGCCAGGUGACAGGUGUUGCAUGGCUGUCGUCAGCUCGUGUCGUGAGAUGCUUGGUUAAGUCCAUUAACGAGCGCAACCCUUGUGAAUAGUUGUAUUUUUCUAUUCAAACUGCCCCGGUAACGGGGAGGAAGGAGGGGAUGAUGUCAGGUCAGUACUACCCUUACACCCUGGGCUAGAAACACGAUACAAUGGUUAGUACAAUGCGCAGCGAAGCCGCGAGGUGGAGCAAAUCGCAUCAAAGCUAAUCUCAGUUCGGAUAAGAGGCUGAAACUCGCCUCUUUGAAAUCGGAAUCGCUAGUAAUCGCAGAUCAGCAAGCUGCGGUGAAUACGUUCCCGGGUCUUGUACACACCGCCCGUCAAACCAUGAAAGUCACCAACACCCGAAGUCCGAUUCGUCGGCCUAAGGUGGGGGGGAUGAUUGGGGUUAAGUCGUAACAAGGUA